AUGACGAAGGGUACCGGCAGUUUCGGCAAGCGCUGGAACAAGACCCACAAGCUUUGCAUCCGCUGCGGCCGCCGCAGCUUCCACCUCCAGAAGAGCACCUGCUCCUCGUGCGGCUACCCCGCCGCCCGCAUCCUCAAGUGUAAGCUCCCCCCUCCCCUCGCCCCUCUAGAUCUCCAGGUCUGUUACCGUCAUGCGCAACAUUCGUGA
This 207-nucleotide ribosomal RNA is filed under the name Triticum aestivum (bread wheat). RNAcentral's name for it is "partial small subunit ribosomal RNA". The record is from RNAcentral. Lineage: Eukaryota; Viridiplantae; Streptophyta; Magnoliopsida; Poales; Poaceae.